RNAcentral lists this ribosomal RNA (750 nucleotides) under bacterium. RNAcentral's name for it is "bacterial SSU rRNA". It matches the Rfam family "Bacterial small subunit ribosomal RNA", at positions 38 to 787 of the family's 1533-position model. The record is from RNAcentral.
GGCGUGGCGCAUGCUUACACAUGCAGUCGAACGGUAACAGGGAGCUUGCUCCGCUGACGAGUGGCGAACGGGUGAGUAAUACAUCGGAACGUGUCCUGUAGUGGGGGAUAGCCCGGCGAAAGCCGGAUUAAUACCGCAUACGAUCUACGGAUGAAAGCGGGGGAUCUUCGGACCUCGCGCUAUAGGGGCGGCCGAUGGCAGAUUAGCUAGUUGGUGGGGUAAAGGCCUACCAAGGCGACGAUCUGUAGCUGGUCUGAGAGGACGACCAGCCACACUGGGACUGAGACACGGCCCAGACUCCUACGGGAGGCAGCAGUGGGGAAUUUUGGACAAUGGGCGAAAGCCUGAUCCAGCAAUGCCGCGUGUGUGAAGAAGGCCUUCGGGUUGUAAAGCACUUUUGUUCGGGAAGAAAAGGACUGGGCUAAUAUCCUGGUCUGAUGACGGUACCGGAAGAAUAAGCACCGGCUAACUACGUGCCAGCAGCCGCGGUAAUACGUAGGGUGCAAGCGUUAAUCGGAAUUACUGGGCGUAAAGCGUGCGCAGGCGGUUUGUUAAGACAGAUGUGAAAUCCCCGGGCUCAACCUGGGAACUGCAUUUGUGACUGGCAAGCUAGAGUCUGGCAGAGGGGGGUGGAAUUCCGCGUGUAGCAGUGAAAUGCGUAGAUAUGCGGAGGAACACCGAUGGCGAAGGCAGCCCCCUGGGCCAACACUGACGCUCAUGCACGAAAGCGUGGGGAGCAACAGGAAACCC